Molecule: ribosomal RNA, 798 nt
Filed under: uncultured bacterium
Lineage: Bacteria
Description: bacterial SSU rRNA
Rfam family: Bacterial small subunit ribosomal RNA
Source: RNAcentral
AGAGUUUGAUCCUGGCUCAGAACGAACGCUGGCGGCGUGCUUAACACAUGCAAGUCGAACGCGAAAAUUUUCCUCGGAAAGUGAGUAGAGUGGCGCACGGGUGAGUAACGCGUAAGUUAUCUACCUCGGCAUCCGGAAUAACUCACCGAAAGGUGUGCUAAUACCGGAUACGUUGAGUAAUCAAGAAAGGUGGCCUCUGAAUAUGCUACUGUGCUGAGAUGAGCUUGCGUACCAUUAGCUAGUAGGUAGGGUAAAGGCCUACCUAGGCUACGAUGGUUAGCGGGUCUGAGAGGAUGAUCCGCCACACUGGAACUGGAACACGGACCAGACUCCUACGGGAGGCAGCAGUGAGGAAUAUUGCGCAAUGGGGGAAACCCUGACGCAGCGACGCCGCGUGGGUGAAGAAGGCCUUCGGGUUGUAAAGCCCUGUCAGGUGGGAAGAAGUGUAUCAUGGCUAAUAUCCAUGGUAUUUGACGGUACCACCAAAGGAAGCACCGGCUAACUCCGUGCCAGCAGCCGCGGUAAUACGGAGGGUGCAAGCGUUGUUCGGAUUUACUGGGCGUAAAGGGCGCGUAGGCGGUUUUAUAAGCCAGAUGUGAAAGCCCACGGCUCAACCGUGGAAGUGCAUCUGGAACUGUAAGACUUGAGUAUGGGAGAGGAAAGUGGAAUUCCCGGUGUAGAGGUGAAAUUCGUAGAUAUCGGGAGGAAUACCGGUGGCGAAGGCGACUUUCUGGACCAAUACUGACGCUGAGGCGCGAAAGCGUGGGUAGCAAACAGGAUUAGAUACCCUGGUAGUCC